UACGUAGGGUGCAAGCGUUAUCCGGAAUUAUUGGGCGUAAAGAGCUCGUAGGCGGUUUGUCGCGUCUGCUGUGAAAACUGGAGGCUCAACCUCCAGCCUGCAGUGGGUACGGGCAGACUAGAGUGCGGUAGGGGAGAUUGGAAUUCCUGGUGUAGCGGUGGAAUGCGCAGAUAUCAGGAGGAACACCGAUGGCGAAGGCAGGUCUCUGGGCCGAUACUGACGCUGAGGAGCGAAAGCGUGGGGAGCGAACAGG
RNAcentral lists this ribosomal RNA (253 nucleotides) under uncultured bacterium. RNAcentral's name for it is "partial 16S ribosomal RNA". It matches the Rfam family "Bacterial small subunit ribosomal RNA", at positions 524 to 776 of the family's 1533-position model. The record is from RNAcentral.